Molecule: ribosomal RNA, 402 nt
Filed under: uncultured bacterium
Lineage: Bacteria
Description: bacterial SSU rRNA
Rfam family: Bacterial small subunit ribosomal RNA
Source: RNAcentral
ACUGAAUAGAUACCCGGGUAGUCCGCACCGUAAACGAUGAUCACUUGGUGUUGGAGGUAUUGACCCCUUCAGUGCCGAAAGCUAAACGCGUUAAGUGAUCCGCCUGGGAAGUACGGUCGCAAGAUUAAAACUCAAAGAAAUUGACGGGGGCCCGCACAAGCAGUGGAGCAUGUGGUUCAAUUCGAUGCAACGCGAAAAACCUUACCUGGGUUUGAAGUGCUAGUGAAUGUGGUAGAGAUAUCACAGGCCUUCGGGACACUAGUAUCAGGUGCUGCAUGGCUGUCGUCAGCUCGUGUCGUGAGAUGUCGGGUUAAGUCCCAUAACGAGCGCAACCCCUAUGUUUAGUUGCCAGCAUUAAGUUGGGCACUCUAAACAGACUGCCGGCGUUAAGCCGGAGGAAGG